UACGUAGGGAGCAAGCGUUGUCCGGAAUCAUUGGGCGUAAAGCGCGCGUAGGCGGCCCUGUAAGUCCGUUGUGAAAGUCAAAGGCUCAACCUUUGAAAGCCGAUGGAUACUGCAGGGCUAGAGUCCGGAAGAGGCGAGUGGAAUUCCUGGUGUAGCGGUGGAAUGCGUAGAUAUUGGGAGGAACACCAGUGGCGAAGGCGGCUCACUGGACCGGAACUGACGCUGAGGCGCGAAAGCGUGGGGAGCAAACAGG
RNAcentral lists this ribosomal RNA (253 nucleotides) under uncultured bacterium. Its description in RNAcentral is "partial 16S ribosomal RNA". It matches the Rfam family "Bacterial small subunit ribosomal RNA", at positions 524 to 776 of the family's 1533-position model. The record is from RNAcentral.